This 433-nucleotide ribosomal RNA is filed under the name uncultured bacterium. RNAcentral describes it as "partial 16S ribosomal RNA". It matches the Rfam family "Bacterial small subunit ribosomal RNA", at positions 28 to 507 of the family's 1533-position model. The record is from RNAcentral.
GGCGAACGCUGGCGGCAGGCCUAACACAUGCAAGUCGAACGAACUCUUCGGAGUUAGUGGCGGACGGGUGAGUAACACGUGGGAACGUGCCUUUUGGUUCGGAAUAACUCAGGGAAACUUGUGCUAAUACCGAAUGUGCCCUUCGGGGGAAAGAUUUAUCGCCAUUAGAGCGGCCCGCGUCUGAUUAGCUAGUUGGUGAGGUAACGGCUCACCAAGGCGACGAUCAGUAGCUGGUCUGAGAGGAUGACCAGCCACACUGGGACUGAGACACGGCCCAGACUCCUACGGGAGGCAGCAGUGGGGAAUCUUGCGCAAUGGGCGAAAGCCUGACGCAGCCAUGCCGCGUGAAUGAUGAAGGUCUUAGGAUUGUAAAAUUCUUUCACCGGGGACGAUAAUGACGGUACCCGGAGAAGAAGCCCCGGCUAACUUCGUG